This 449-nucleotide ribosomal RNA is filed under the name uncultured bacterium. Its description in RNAcentral is "partial 16S ribosomal RNA". It matches the Rfam family "Bacterial small subunit ribosomal RNA", at positions 29 to 523 of the family's 1533-position model. The record is from RNAcentral.
AGCGAACGCUGGCGGAAUGCUUAACACAUGCAAGUCGCACGCCCUGCAAGGGGAGUGGCGGACGGGUGAGUAACGCGUAGGAAUAUGUCCAGUGGUGGGGGACAACCCUGGGAAACUGGGGCUUAUACCGCAUAUGGGCUGAGGCCCAAAGCAGUGAUGCGCAUUUGGAGUAGCCUGCGCCCGAUUAGCUUGUUGGUGGGGUAAAGGCUUACCAAGGCGACGAUCGGUAGCUGGUCUGAGAGGACGACCAGCCACACUGGGACUGAGACACGGCCCAGACUCCUACGGGAGGCAGCAGUGGGGAAUAUUGGACAAUGGGCGCAAGCCUGAUCCAGCAAUUCCGCGUGGGUGAAGAAGGUCUUCGGAUUGUAAAGCCCUUUCGACGGUGACGAUGAUGACGGUACCCGUAGAAGAAGCCCCGGCUAACUUCGUGCCAGCCGCCGCGGUAA